This 386-nucleotide ribosomal RNA is filed under the name uncultured bacterium. RNAcentral's name for it is "bacterial SSU rRNA". It matches the Rfam family "Bacterial small subunit ribosomal RNA", at positions 30 to 417 of the family's 1533-position model. The record is from RNAcentral.
AUUGGACGCUGGCGGAAUGCUUUACACAUGCAAGUCGAACGGCAGCACGGGGCAACCUGGUGGCGAGUGGCGAACGGGUGAGUAAUAUAUCGGAACGUGCCCAAUCGUGGGGGAUAACGUAGCGAAAGUUACGCUAAUACCGCAUACGAUCUACGGAUGAAAGCGGGGGAUCGCAAGACCUCGCGCGAAUGGAGCGGCCGAUAUCAGAUUAGGUAGUUGGUGGGGUAAAAGGCUCACCAAGCCAACGAUCUGUAGCUGGUCUGAGAGGACGACCAGCCACACUGGAACUGAGACACGGUCCAGACUCCUACGGGAGGCAGCAGUGGGGAAUUUUGGACAAUGGGCGCAAGCCUGAUCCAGCCAUUCCGCGUGCAGGAUGAAGGACC